This 585-nucleotide ribosomal RNA is filed under the name uncultured Pseudozyma. RNAcentral describes it as "LSU rRNA". It matches the Rfam family "Eukaryotic large subunit ribosomal RNA", at positions 87 to 657 of the family's 3401-position model. Lineage: Eukaryota; Fungi; Basidiomycota; Ustilaginomycetes; Ustilaginales; Ustilaginaceae. The record is from RNAcentral.
CGGCGAGUGAGCGGCAACAGCUCAAAUUUGAAAUCUGGCUCUUUCAGAGUCCGAGUUGUAAUUUGCAGAGGGCGCUUUGGCUUUGGCAGCGGUCCAAGUUCCUUGGAACAGGACGUCACAGAGGGUGAGAAUCCCGUACGUGGUCGCUAGCUAUUGCCGUGUAAAGCCCCUUCGACGAGUCGAGUUGUUUGGGAAUGCAGCUCUAAAUGGGAGGUAAAUUUCUUCUAAAGCUAAAUAUUGGCCAGAGACCGAUAGCGCACAAGUAGAGUGAUCGAAAGAUGAAAAGAACUUUGAAAAGAGAGUUAAACAGUACGUGAAAUUGCCAAAAGGGAAGGGUAGGAGGUCAGAGAUGCGUCUUGGGAUUCAGCCUUGCUUUUGCAUGGUGUUUUUCCCAAGUUGCAGGCCAACGUCGGUUUUGGGCACUGGAGAAGGGUAGGAGGAACGUGGCACCUCUCGGGGUGUGUUAUAGCCUCCUACUGGAUACAGCGACCGAGACCGAGGAACGCAGCGUACUCGUAAGAGCGGGCCUUUUGGCACCUUUACGCUUAGGGCGUUGGCAUAAUGGCCCUCUACCACCCGUCUUGA